Platichthys flesus (European flounder) is the source of this 1941-nucleotide long non-coding RNA. RefSeq lists it as uncharacterized. NCBI's taxonomy places the organism in Eukaryota, Metazoa, Chordata, Actinopteri, Pleuronectiformes, Pleuronectidae. The transcript is spliced from 3 exons. The record is from RefSeq and is a predicted model, not a curated record.
UGUGGCUAUUCUUUGAUGUUAUAGUGUUUUUUGGACUGAUAAUGUUACUAGAUUGGAUCGUCUGGACCUUUGGCAAUGUACCAAGACCGUUUUUGUUGGAAUGUUAUUGAUCUGUGGAUUAAUAUGAAGCUUCUUAGGAGGAGGCUGCCAGCUCUCUUCUCCUGCAUCGCCGAGGGGGAAGCCUGGCAUCUUCUCUUCCCUAACCAACGAAAGGAGGUCAGAGGUGCAGCUUCCAACUCAUGUCUUCAAGAAAACCUCCACACAUCUCAAGCUCUUUCAAACUCCUAGUGUAACGGAUGUAAACAGUCCAGAGGCUGAGCACCAGACACUGGAGCCGACGGUGAGGACAAAGGAUUGUAAAACUUUUGGAGGGAAAACAUUCUCCAGCAGGCCUGAGAAUCUCCCCCUGGUGGUUGGAAAAUGUCCUGAAGCGCCUUCAGGACCCCCGCUGAGUUCCAAGCCCCGCCCACUGAGGUCCAACUCUGACACUCAAUUGGCUUAAAGCCAGCAUCAUCCUAUGACCAGCACCUCAAGGAGGCAGAACCUCUCAGGUAGAAUAAAAUCACUGAGACAUCAAUAAUCGCUGCCAUUUUCCCUGCUCUGAAGACGUCAACAGACCCCUCCGGGUCUUUCCAGAUGAUUUAGUUGCUAAAGGGGGCAACCAGAGUUAUUUUCUUUAAUUUCUUUAUUUUCUUUUAUCUUAAGUUUGAUCUUACUUUGAUAGAGACUAUUUUUGUUUUUAACUUGAAAAGGCCGUGCACAGGAACUCACUCGCUCGCUGGCCGAGCUCAGAGACUUUCUUUCCAAAUCUACAGCUGCGUCAACCGCUGCUCAUCCCUGCAGAAGAGACGAAGCCGAAUUCCGUUCCAAGAGCAGGAGAAUUCUUUCUAUUCGGUCCAGCGCUGACCUCCGUUGCAACCACGAGACCCACCGGAGCACCGCUUAAGAGGCCAGGACACUGAUUUGUUUUCCAGGAAUCCGCCCGUUCGCACGCAUCCUGAGGUUUAACGACAGAUUCACUGGACUUCCGGGAAAUCCGCGCCCAACGCGCAAGCAACACCGCGGAGGUCACAGUAAGAGGCUUUAUUGUCUGGGCAGAGACUAGUUUAAAUACUUAGCGUGUCAUUUGUUUGAUUGUAUGUUUGUUUGUAGAUCGCUGAUCUGUUUUUAGCCGUGCUACACGGCGGGCCAAGACGACACAUCCGGUUCCUUUGUUUACUGCGUUUUUUUGAGAAGAGCGCGGUACAGAGCCGGCGCUUCCUUUUUGCAUGUUACCGUCAGAGAUAUUGUGCGGAGAUUUACAUCUGUUAAAAGAUAAAUCUCACGUAACUGGUCUGCUUCGCUGGAAGUUUGUCUCUGACAAUGUUUUGAGAGCUUUCCUGAUCUCUCUCUCUCUCUCUCUCUCUCUCUCUCUCUCUCUCUCUCUCUCUCUCUCUCUUCUCUUAAACCUAUUUUUACACACGUCCCGACCUACAUUUAUACAUUUCAUGUUACAUGGAGAAAUCUAGAUUUAACGAGCAUUUAUACAUCUCGACGCCAUUCGGCGCCAAAACCACGAGAUAAGAAAUCUCUUUGUCUUAAAGAUCCCGUUUGUUAAGGUCAGUGACCGGCAGCCAUUUUGCUUUUCGCAACGUGGCUUCACUAAGGUAACCUCCAUCUUGAAAGUACGUGAAUGUAACAUCACCUUGAAUUCGGCCAGAGGACGUCACCACGUCAUUACGCCAUAGCCACUCCCCUUUCUCUUUCUUACACACACACAGACAGGCAGACACACACGACCACACACACACACAUAGAUACUCCGUAUUACAUGUGUGACAAUUGUGAUAAGUGCUGCUGCUGUUGUUACCAUCUUUGAAAUAUUGGAGUUUGUUAAAUGAAGAAUCAUUGAAAUAACAUUAACUUUAUUUCCCCUUUUUAAUAAAUACUUUUGUAAUUAAA